CGCGUAGGCGGCCUGGUAAGUCAGGUGUGAAAGCCCGGGGCUCAACCCCGGAAGUGCAUUUGAUACUGUCAGGCUUGAGUAUGGGAGAGGGAAGUGGAAUUCCUGGUGUAGAGGUGAAAUUCGUAGAUAUCAGGAGGAACACCGGUGGCGAAGGCGACUUCCUGGACCAAUACUGACGCUGAGGCGCGAAGGCGUGGGGAGCAAACA
Molecule: ribosomal RNA, 207 nt
Filed under: uncultured delta proteobacterium
Lineage: Bacteria; Deltaproteobacteria
Description: partial 16S ribosomal RNA
Rfam family: Bacterial small subunit ribosomal RNA
Source: RNAcentral